Molecule: non-coding RNA, 604 nt
Organism: Pimephales promelas (fathead minnow)
Lineage: Eukaryota; Metazoa; Chordata; Actinopteri; Cypriniformes; Leuciscidae
Source: the annotation of a RefSeq genome assembly
UAUGAAAGGAUACAAAUGGAUAGAGGUUUGGCUCCGACACCCACACUAUUCAUUAGCACCUCCCACUACAGUAUAAAUCCAUGCAUCAAUCUACAUAAUUUAUUUCAUUUAUCAAAAGUUUAUGGGUGUGCAUAUAUGAAUCUCAAAAAUGAUAAAUAGCAAGCUUCCUAAAACUGUGAUCAAAACCUACUCAAACAUGUUUAAACUAAGGGACAGUAUUAGCAUGGAGGCCUGUCUGCUAGUGACUCUCAUGACGAUUUCAGGUGUGUUUGCUGCUGACAGCAUUGGACCAAAUGACAAGGAUCCUAAUAAGACCAGCAGAGAAGGAGAGUCUGUGACACUGAGCUGCACAUAUGAUACAAGCAGCAGUUAUAUAUAUCUUUACUGGUACAGACAGUAUCCUAACACAGAACCUCAGUAUUUACUGCGGAAAGGUGCUCGAUCAUAUGGAGGAGAGGAUAAAACAGAAGAACGGUUUCGACCGACCACAUCCCAAACAUCCACUAAUCUCACUAUUAACAGUGUAACUCUGUCAGAUUCAGCUCUCUAUUACUGUGCUCUAAGAGUAGCAGCCCAGUGAUACAAAAUGCCUGAGAGGCUUUAC